Molecule: ribosomal RNA, 508 nt
Filed under: uncultured bacterium
Lineage: Bacteria
Description: partial 16S ribosomal RNA
Rfam family: Bacterial small subunit ribosomal RNA
Source: RNAcentral
GAUGAACGCUAGCUACAGGCUUAACACAUGCAAGUCGAGGGGAAACGAUAUUGGAAGCUUGCUUCCGAUAGGCGUCGACCGGCGCACGGGUGAGUAACGCGUAUCCAACCUGCCCAUCACUUGGGGAUAACCUUGCGAAAGUAAGACUAAUACCCAAUGAUAUCUCUAGAAGACAUCUGAAAGGGAUUAAAGAUUUAUCGGUGAUGGAUGGGGAUGCGUCUGAUUAGCUUGUUGGCGGGGUAACGGCCCACCAAGGCGACGAUCAGUAGGGGUUCUGAGAGGAAGGUCCCCCACAUUGGAACUGAGACACGGUCCAAACUCCUACGGGAGGCAGCAGUGAGGAAUAUUGGUCAAUGGGCGAGAGCCUGAACCAGCCAAGUAGCGUGCAGGAUGACGGCCCUAUGGGUUGUAAACUGCUUUUAUAAGGGAAUAAAGUGGGAGUCGUGACUCCUUUUGCAUGUACCUUAUGAAUAAGGACCGGCUAAUUCCGUGCCAGCCGCCGCCGCAG